RNAcentral lists this ribosomal RNA (2889 nucleotides) under Klebsiella pneumoniae. RNAcentral describes it as "23S ribosomal RNA". It matches the Rfam family "Bacterial large subunit ribosomal RNA". The record is from RNAcentral. Lineage: Bacteria; Pseudomonadati; Pseudomonadota; Gammaproteobacteria; Enterobacterales; Enterobacteriaceae.
UUAAGCGACUAAGCGUACACGGUGGAUGCCCUGGCAGUCAGAGGCGAUGAAGGACGUGCUAAUCUGCGAAAAGCGUCGGUAAGGUGAUAUGAACCGUUAUAACCGGCGAUGUCCGAAUGGGGAAACCCAGUGCAAUUCGUUGCACUAUCGUUAACUGAAUACAUAGGUUAACGAGGCGAACCGGGGGAACUGAAACAUCUAAGUACCCCGAGGAAAAGAAAUCAACCGAGAUUCCCCCAGUAGCGGCGAGCGAACGGGGAGCAGCCCAGAGUCUGAAUCAGCUUGUGUGUUAGUGGAACGGUCUGGAAAGUCCGACGGUACAGGGUGAUAGUCCCGUACACCAAAAUGCACAGGCUGUGAACUCGAAGAGUAGGGCGGGACACGUGGUAUCCUGUCUGAAUAUGGGGGGACCAUCCUCCAAGGCUAAAUACUCCUGACUGACCGAUAGUGAACCAGUACCGUGAGGGAAAGGCGAAAAGAACCCCGGCGAGGGGAGUGAAAAAGAACCUGAAACCGUGUACGUACAAGCAGUGGGAGCACCUUCGGGUGUGACUGCGUACCUUUUGUAUAAUGGGUCAGCGACUUAUAUUCUGUAGCAAGGUUAACCGUAUAGGGGAGCCGCAGGGAAACCGAGUCUUAACUGGGCGUUAAGUUGCAGGGUAUAGACCCGAAACCCGGUGAUCUAGCCAUGGGCAGGUUGAAGGUUGGGUAACACUAACUGGAGGACCGAACCGACUAAUGUUGAAAAAUUAGCGGAUGACUUGUGGCUGGGGGUGAAAGGCCAAUCAAACCGGGAGAUAGCUGGUUCUCCCCGAAAGCUAUUUAGGUAGCGCCUCGUGAACUCAUCUUCGGGGGUAGAGCACUGUUUCGGCUAGGGGGUCAUCCCGACUUACCAACCCGAUGCAAACUACGAAUACCGAAGAAUGUUAUCACGGGAGACACACGGCGGGUGCUAACGUCCGUCGUGAAGAGGGAAACAACCCAGACCGCCAGCUAAGGUCCCAAAGUCAUGGUUAAGUGGGAAACGAUGUGGGAAGGCACAGACAGCCAGGAUGUUGGCUUAGAAGCAGCCAUCAUUUAAAGAAAGCGUAAUAGCUCACUGGUCGAGUCGGCCUGCGCGGAAGAUGUAACGGGGCUAAACCAUGCACCGAAGCUGCGGCAGCGACACUAUGUGUUGUUGGGUAGGGGAGCGUUCUGUAAGCCUGCGAAGGUGNUGCUGGAGGUAUCAGAAGUGCGAAUGCUGACAUAAGUAACGAUAAAGCGGGUGAAAAGCCCGCUCGCCGGAAGACCAAGGGUUCCUGUCCAACGUUAAUCGGGGCAGGGUGAGUCGACCCCUAAGGCGAGGCCGAAAGGCGUAGUCGAUGGGAAACAGGUUAAUAUUCCUGUACUUGGUGUUACUGCGAAGGGGGGACGGAGAAGGCUAUGUUAGCCGGGCGACGGUUGUCCCGGUUUAAGCAUGUAGGCUGGUUAUCCAGGCAAAUCCGGAUAAUCAAGGCUGAGGUGUGAUGACGAGGCACUACGGUGCUGAAGUAACAAAUGCCCUGCUUCCAGGAAAAGCCUCUAAGCAUCAGGUAACAUCAAAUCGUACCCCAAACCGACACAGGUGGUCAGGUAGAGAAUACCAAGGCGCUUGAGAGAACUCGGGUGAAGGAACUAGGCAAAAUGGUGCCGUAACUUCGGGAGAAGGCACGCUGGUGUGUAGGUGAAGUCCCUGCGGAUGGAGCUGAGACCAGUCGAAGAUACCAGCUGGCUGCAACUGUUUAUUAAAAACACAGCACUGUGCAAACACGAAAGUGGACGUAUACGGUGUGACGCCUGCCCGGUGCCGGAAGGUUAAUUGAUGGGGUUAUCCGUAAGGAGAAGCUCUUGAUCGAAGCCCCGGUAAACGGCGGCCGUAACUAUAACGGUCCUAAGGUAGCGAAAUUCCUUGUCGGGUAAGUUCCGACCUGCACGAAUGGCGUAAUGAUGGCCAGGCUGUCUCCACCCGAGACUCAGUGAAAUUGAACUCGCUGUGAAGAUGCAGUGUACCCGCGGCAAGACGGAAAGACCCCGUGAACCUUUACUAUAGCUUGACACUGAACAUUGAGCCUUGAUGUGUAGGAUAGGUGGGAGGCUUUGAAGCGUGGACGCCAGUCUGCGUGGAGCCAACCUUGAAAUACCACCCUUUAAUGUUUGAUGUUCUAACGUUGGCCCCUGACCGGGGUUGCGGACAGUGUCUGGUGGGUAGUUUGACUGGGGCGGUCUCCUCCCAAAGCGUAACGGAGGAGCACGAAGGUUAGCUAAUCCUGGUCGGACAUCAGGAGGUUAGUGCAAUGGCAUAAGCUAGCUUGACUGCGAGCGUGACGGCGCGAGCAGGUGCGAAAGCAGGUCAUAGUGAUCCGGUGGUUCUGAAUGGAAGGGCCAUCGCUCAACGGAUAAAAGGUACUCCGGGGAUAACAGGCUGAUACCGCCCAAGAGUUCAUAUCGACGGCGGUGUUUGGCACCUCGAUGUCGGCUCAUCACAUCCUGGGGCUGAAGUAGGUCCCAAGGGUAUGGCUGUUCGCCAUUUAAAGUGGUACGCGAGCUGGGUUUAGAACGUCGUGAGACAGUUCGGUCCCUAUCUGCCGUGGGCGCUGGAGAAUUGAGGGGGGCUGCUCCUAGUACGAGAGGACCGGAGUGGACGCAUCACUGGUGUUCGGGUUGUCAUGCCAAUGGCACUGCCCGGUAGCUAAAUGCGGAAGAGAUAAGUGCUGAAAGCAUCUAAGCACGAAACUUGCCCCGAGAUGAGUUCUCCCUGAGACUUUAAGUCUCCUGAAGGAACGUUAAAGACGAUGACGUUGAUAGGCCGGGUGUGUAAGCGCAGCGAUGCGUUGAGCUAACCGGUACUAAUGAACCGUGAGGCUUAACCUU